AUGAUGGCCAGAAAAUUGCACUACCAACCGAACCCAAUCGAAGUGUUCGACCUGCUCAACGUCGGCGUAAAACCGGCCGGUCGGGCAGGCCUCUCCUCACGGCUUCCACGUGGCCGGCGGCGGCGGGGCGGCGGGGAACAUGGGCGGCACGGCGGAGAACAUGGUGUUCUUGUCGACGGCGCCGACGCCCGUGCCACGUCCGCUGUUGGUGAUGGCGACGAGCGCGGCGACGAGCCCGGCGUUGCCGACCAGCGUGGGCUCGUUCUGCGCGUAGCUGAUCCGCGCGUCCUUGAACUUGUCGUUCUUGUCCGGCCCGCCGACCAUGGCGCCUACGAGCACGUGAGGGUCGGCCUUCUUGGAGUCGCGCCACUUGUUCCCGCCGGUGCACGAGUACUUGAUCCCAAUUACCUGGGAUUUGGCGAAGGAGCGGAGGUCGUCGACGGUCAUGAAGUUGGGGCCGCAGUACCAGCCGGGGACGUUGACGGACUCCAUGUAGUCGGCGUAGAGCGCGGCGAGGAAGGAGUUGGCGACGUUAAACGCAUUGAACUUGGGAAAGUACAUGCACAUGUUCAUGCUGGUGACGUUGUGGUAUCCCAUGAGCGACUCCUCGUAGGGGUAGCCGGGGUUGAGGAACAUGCGCAGCCGCGACAGCAGCAGCGUGGCGCCGGGGAGCUUGUUGUCCCAGCUGAAGACGGAGAAGUCGAGGAUGUUGAAGAAGGCCUUGGCGUUCUUGGGCAGCCGGGGGUCGGUGGCGAAGCUGAUGUAGCUGUUGUUGCCCGUGGCGUAGUACAUCCAGGAGGCGCUCCACAUGAACUCGUCCCAGUAGCUGGUGGAGUUGUAGAAGUACUCGAUGGCCGGGUUGCCCCGGGAGUAGGGGGUGCGCUUCCCGUUGGCGCGCGCGAACUUGUACACCGUCGCCGCCCCCUUCACCAGCUUCUUGGAGUAGGCGGCGUUGUCGCGGAACACGAUGGAGGCCGAGGCCAGCGCCGCCGCCACCUCGCCGCCGAGGUCCGGGGCCGCGCUCGCCUGCUGCACCGGCCGCGGGUACGCCAUGUCCUCCGGCCGGUUCCAGCAGAAGUGGUCGUCCGGCGUGCUGCCGUUGAUCUUGGCGGUACCCACCUACAGGCACAAUCACCUACUAGUUGGUACUCUGAAUGA
RNAcentral lists this ribosomal RNA (1158 nucleotides) under Triticum aestivum (bread wheat). Its description in RNAcentral is "partial small subunit ribosomal RNA". Lineage: Eukaryota; Viridiplantae; Streptophyta; Magnoliopsida; Poales; Poaceae. The record is from RNAcentral.